AUUCUAUGAUGGGGACAUUCUAGGAUGUAGUCUUGGAAGUGCUCUCAUGCCUCUGGAACGGAUUCAUCAUGUUGUUGCUGAAAACUUGUAAUCUUCCCACAAAGAGU
This 107-nucleotide small nucleolar RNA is filed under the name Sorghum bicolor (sorghum). RNAcentral's name for it is "Plant small nucleolar RNA R71". It matches the Rfam family "Plant small nucleolar RNA R71". Rfam says of the family: R71 is a member of the C/D box family of snoRNAs containing the C (UGAUGA) and D (CUGA) box motifs. Multiple nearly identical copies of this snoRNA have been identified in Arabidopsis, and it is thought to function as a 2'-O-ribose methylation guide for 18S ribosomal RNA. The record is from Rfam by way of RNAcentral. Lineage: Eukaryota; Viridiplantae; Streptophyta; Magnoliopsida; Poales; Poaceae.